AUGAACGCUAGCGGCAGGCUUAACACAUGCAAGUCGAGGGGCAACACGGGUAGCAAUACCUGGUGGCGACCGGACGCAAGGGUGCGUAACGCGUGAGCAACAUGCCCUAUACAGGGGGAUAAUCCAGGGAAACUUGGUCUAAUAUCCCAUAGUAUUUAGAGGUGGCAUCACCACUAAAUUAAAGCUUCGGUGGUAUAGGAUUGGCUCGCGUGACAUUAGCUGGAUGGUGGGGUAACGGCUCACCAUGGCGAUGAUGUCUAGGGGUUCUGAGAGGAAGACCCCCCACACCUGGGACUGAGACACGGCCCAGACUCCUACGGGAGGCAGCAGUGAGGAAUAUUGGACAAUGGAUGGAAAUCUGAUCCAGCCAUGCCGCGUGCAGGAAGACGGCCCUAUGGGUUGUAAACUGUCUUUUAUAUGGGAGCAAUAAGGUUUACGCGUAGACCGAUGAGAGUACCAUAUGAAUAAGCAUCGGCUAACUCCGUG
Molecule: ribosomal RNA, 486 nt
Filed under: uncultured bacterium
Lineage: Bacteria
Description: bacterial SSU rRNA
Rfam family: Bacterial small subunit ribosomal RNA
Source: RNAcentral